UUUAACACGAAGUGAGUGGCGAACGGGUGAGUAACACGUGGGUAACCUGCCCAGAAGUAGGGGAUAACACCUGGAAACAGAUGCUAAUACCGUAUAACAGAGAAAACCGCAUGGUUUUCUUUUAAAAGAUGGCUCUGCUAUCACUUCUGGAUGGACCCGCGGCGUAUUAGCUAGUUGGUGAGGUAAAGGCUCACCAAGGCAGUGAUACGUAGCCGACCUGAGAGGGUAAUCGGCCACAUUGGGACUGAGACACGGCCCAGACUCCUACGGGAGGCAGCAGUAGGGAAUCUUCCACAAUGGACGCAAGUCUGAUGGAGCAACGCCGCGUGAGUGAAGAAGGGUUUCGGCUCGUAAAGCUCUGUUGUUAAAGAAGAACGUGGGUAAGAGUAACUGUUUACCCAGUGACGGUAUUUAACCAGAAAGCCACGGCUAACUACGUGCCAGCAGCCGCGGUAAUACGUAGGUGGCAAGCGUUAUCCGGAUUUAUUGGGCGUAAAGCGAGCGCAGGCGGUCUUUUAAGUCUAAUGUGAAAGCCUUCGGCUCAACCGAAGAAGUGCAUUGGAAACUGGGAGACUUGAGUGCAGAAGAGGACAGUGGAACUCCAUGUGUAGCGGUGAAAUGCGUAGAUAUAUGGAAGAACACCAGUGGCGAAGGCGGCUGUCUGGUCUGCAACUGACGCUGAGGCUCGAAAGCAUGGGUAGCGAACAGGAUUAGAUACCCUGGUAGUCCAUGCCGUAAACGAUGAUUACUAAGUGUUGGAGGGUUUCCGCCCUUCAGUGCUGCAGCUAACGCAUUAAGUAAUCCGCCUGGGGAGUACGACCGCAAGGUUGAAACUCAAAAGAAUUGACGGGGGGCCCGCACAAGCGGUGGAGCAUGUGGUUUAAUUCGAAGCUACGCGAAGAACCUUACCGGGUCUUGGCAUCUUCUGACAGUCUAAG
This 938-nucleotide ribosomal RNA is filed under the name Pediococcus pentosaceus. Its description in RNAcentral is "bacterial SSU rRNA". It matches the Rfam family "Bacterial small subunit ribosomal RNA", at positions 80 to 1003 of the family's 1533-position model. The record is from RNAcentral. Lineage: Bacteria; Bacillati; Bacillota; Bacilli; Lactobacillales; Lactobacillaceae.